RNAcentral lists this unclassified non-coding RNA (2636 nucleotides) under Hevea brasiliensis (rubber tree). The record is from RNAcentral. Lineage: Eukaryota; Viridiplantae; Streptophyta; Magnoliopsida; Malpighiales; Euphorbiaceae.
GCAAUUCUUGCCAUUGCUUCAUCAUUUCUUGCUGGCAAUUUUUCUUCCAUUUACAGUUCAACAAAAAGAUUUCUCAAAUGUCACGUUCUUGAACAUGUCUUUGUUCUUUACAACCAUUUCUUUUGCUAUUUGAGUUUCAUUUUUUCACCAUUUUCUCCCCUUUGUCCACUAAGCUUUGCUUUAGUUAAACAUGGAUUCCAAGACCCUUCUUGAUUAUGCACUGUUUCAGCUCACCCCAACUAGAACAAGAUGUGAUCUUGUGGUGUUUUCUGGGGGUAAAAAUGAGAAAUUGGCAUCUGGGUUGGUGGAACCAUUCAUUUCUCACUUGAAAUUUGCUAAAGAUCAGAUUCCAAAAGGUGGGUAUUCAAUCACUAUGAGGCCACCUUCAACUCAUGCCUACUGGUUCACCAAAGCCACAUUCCUAAGAUUUGUACGCUUUGUUAGUACACCUGAAAUUCUUGAGAGGUUUAUGCGAUUGGAACGAGAGAUCUCACAGAUCGAGAGUUCCAUUCAAUCCAAUGAAUGCUCCAAUGGCAAUUCAGAGGAAGGAAGCUCACCAGCUAAUAGUGAGAGCACCAGGAAAUCAAACGAUUCGUUCAAGGCAAAAUCUGAAGUUGAAGAAGCUAAUAAUGCUGCACCUAAAGAAAACUCCAAGAUUCACCUUCAACGCCACCUGGAUACCCGAAAGGCAUUACUUAGGAAAGAGCAGGCCAUGGCUUAUGCGCGUGCAACCGUUGCAGGCUUUGAGAUAGACCAAUUGGAUGAUCUCAUACAGUUUGCUAAUUCUUUUGGUGCAGUACGUCUUAGGGAUGCAUGUGUAGAUUUCAAGGAACUUUACAAACAAAAGCACACAGAUGGACAAUGGAUGGAUGAGGUAGCUGCAAUGAAGGCAUGUACACCAAUGGAUCUAUCGUACUUGGGAAAUCAAGGUGUUAUUCUUGCAUAUGACAAUAAUGGCUCUUUGGAUAGUUCUGACUCGAAGGAUUCAACAAAUUCAAAUGGUGUCAAAGAUGAGAAUCUUCCUGCAUCAGAUCCAUCAGCAAAAGUUCAGAUGCAAAUGCCAUGGCAGAACCAUAUUCCUCCGUAUAUGUACAACUUUCAUGGCCCAGCUCAACAGAUGCCUUUUGCUGGCAUGCAUCCUUUACAAUAUUAUCCAGCACAUAUGCAGUGGCCACAAAAUGUAAAUGGCUCCACAAAUGGUUCUGUUAGGGACUCUCACAAACGCUCAAAGAAGAAGGAGAAAUCCAAAGAACAUAACAGUUCAGAAGAUGAUGAACAGACUGAGUCGAGUGCCUCUGAUUCUGGAACUGAUUCAGAUGAAGUUAGGAAGCAUGAGAAAAAGCAUUCUUCAAGGGAGAACUCACAUGCUAAAAAGCACAAGAAGAAAUCCUCAAAAAGAGUUGUAAUCCGCAACAUCAAUUAUAUCACUUCCAAUAGAAAGAAUGAGGAAAAUGAUGGAUCUUCUUAUGAUUCAUCUUCAGCUGAAUCUCAUUUACUCGAUGAAGAUUCUAUCAAAGAGCAGGUAGAUGAUGCUGUUGCAAUACUGGAGAAACGUCGUAAUUCAAAGGGACAUAGGAACAAGAAUAGAGGACAUCAGAAUCUUGAUGUAGAGAAUGAAUCAAAUGGUUAUAGCAACACGGACCUAAAUGAGGGCGUGUCACCAAAGUUAUCUGAGAAAGCAAAAGGAAAUAAGGCUUGGGAUGCAUUCCAGAAUAUUCUGAUGAGUCGUGAGGAGCCAAGUAUGAAUGGGACCAGUGACCAGCUACCUUUGGACUUCCAGGAUGAAGGCUAUGGGAUCAAGAAUUCUGGUGAGAAGGUCAGAAGAGACCAUCUGACACCUGAUGAUUCUCUUAUGAGCAAAAAUCAUGAAGAUAAUGGCACAAAGGUUAACAUGGUAGAUUUUGCCAAUGGUGAGGAUAUGAGGCCAAGUUUGAAGAAAGGAGUUUCUGAAGAUGUGCAUCUUCUAUUUUCGCACAAAGAACCAUCAGGAGGCAAUACAUUGGGAACUCCAUCUGAUUUUGGUUCUGAAUCCUCUGCUAUUAGAAAUAGUAAUGGGGAAGAUUGGUUUGUUGUCAACCACUCCGGCAGUUCAGAAACUCAAGAGACUAGGCGAAUGAUAUUUGACAAUGACAGUAGCAUGUCAACUCAGAAAAGUUCCUCUCAAGUCGAAAGUGAAAGAGCUGCUCCUAUUGAUGAUUCUUUCAUGGUACAGUCUCGACCAGCUUUUGAUGAUCAAUAUGGUUCUCAGUGGAAAACAGACAUUGGCAUGGAUGCAGACUUGGUUGCUGCAGCAAAUGCUGAAAAUAGUGAUCCAGUUGCAUCAAAAACCAAGCUUAGUACAUAUGGGACCAGUCAACCUGAUGACCUCUGUGUGGUGCUGGCAAGAGAAACUAGUUUGGAUCCUCUUGAGGCAUCUUGGCAACCAGAAUUGGAUUUUCAGAUUGAAGCUUCUUUCAUUCAAGUUGAUAAAAAAUCUUCUGCAGUUGAGGCAAAACCUCCUCCUACUGAAGAAACUGUUCCUGUGAAAGGUAAAAGCACAACUAAGAAGGACAGUCUUGCAAAGACCGGAAAAGAUGCAAGGUCUAAAGUCUCCCCAGGAUCUCUGUCAAGGAGCAGGAUUGAUGCUUUAGCAAAGA